GUUCCUUCGUCCCGCCGCUCGCUAGGCCGUACGACGGUUCCGCAUCCCCCGUCCGAUCUCAACGGCCCCUGCCAAAUCUACCCUACCGCACGCCGCACCCCCGCACGCACGCACCACUCCUUCCCCGUCCCGGCCGCCGCACCACUCCUUCCCCGUCCCCGCCGCUGCGUACCCGGCAUCCCCGACGAAUCCGCCGCCGCCGCCCGCACCGUCCCGGCCGCCGUACCGCUCCGUCCCCGUCCCCGCCGCUGCGUCCCCGGCGUCCCUGACGAAUCCGCCGCCGCCAUCCGCACCGUCCCGGCCACCGUACCGUCCGCACCAUCCCGGCCACCGUACCGUCCACCUGCGUCCCUGUCGGAUCCGCCGGUCCGCGCCGUCCCCGGCGGAUCCGCCGCCACCGUCCGCAACGUCCUCCUGCGUCCCCAGCCGGAGGUGUUGGACAAGAUCAAUCAGUUUGAUCAUUUUUUGUCCGCGAGCGGCUCCAGGAGGUGACCCUCAUCUCCGCGUACAGGCUCGAGCCUCCUCCGAUCUGCCGUCCGGAGGGCUAUAGCGAGGAUUGGGCGUGCGUCGCCACCACCCUCGCAGUGCCCGCCGCGGGCGCGCGUGCUCGCCAAAUCCGGCGGGGAAGACGGCACAAUAGUUGAGCUAGCUGGCGGCCGGGUGGUGGGCUCACUCUUCCGGUGCCGUUUUCGGCAAUAAUGCCACCUGCAGUGCUGCAAUGGAGGCACCGGCAAUGACGCGUUAUUGGAGUGCAGCGGCCAGCAGGGUUUUAUCCUGCCCCUGGCAGUGAUGCAAGACCAGAUGUUCGUGGUGAUGUCCACCAUUGGCCGGGCUGCGGUCCAUGUUGUUCUGGCUUGCUCCAUGAGAUCGACGCGCUCGUCCGACCCGAGACUGAGAGGAAAUGUAGACUAGCUGUUCGAGGAAAUGCCUGUGUAGCCGUCAGCAUAUAUUUGUUGAUUGAAAAGUUCAUUUAUUGAUGGUGCCCAGUGCCAGUGCCAGUGCCCUUCUUCAUGACGGGCAUCAGCUCUGUGAGUGAGAUUGCUCUCACUGCAUGCAGCAUUAUGAUAAAUCAAUGGUGUGUUCAAAGUGUGCAUCUUUCUGAAAUUUGUUGUGCUACUUCUUAUCUGAAGAAACUUUAGAAAUUCUGUACAAGAAUAGUUUUUACUCGAUGGCUUUGUAAUGUCAUUGAAGUGGAUGACAAGCACUUUCGUUCUGUAUAUUUCCUUCUUCACGUGUUCAAAACAUAAAUAGUCCAGUUAUGCUAUAUAUUUUUUUCGGAAGUAGCAUGUUCAAGUUA
Panicum virgatum (switchgrass) is the source of this 1297-nucleotide long non-coding RNA. RefSeq lists it as uncharacterized. The transcript is spliced from 2 exons. NCBI's taxonomy places the organism in Eukaryota, Viridiplantae, Streptophyta, Magnoliopsida, Poales, Poaceae. The record is from RefSeq and is a predicted model, not a curated record.